This 460-nucleotide ribosomal RNA is filed under the name uncultured bacterium. RNAcentral's name for it is "partial 16S ribosomal RNA". It matches the Rfam family "Bacterial small subunit ribosomal RNA", at positions 338 to 795 of the family's 1533-position model. The record is from RNAcentral.
CCUACGGGUGGCAGCAGUGAGGAAUAUUGGUCAAUGGACGAGAGUCUGAACCAGCCAAGUAGCGUGAAGGAUGACUGCCCUAUGGGUUGUAAACUUCUUUUAUAUGGGAAUAAAACGUUCCACGUGUGGGAUUUUGUAUGUACCAUAUGAAUAAGGAUCGGCUAACUCCGUGCCAGCAGCCGCGGUAAUACGGAGGAUCCGAGCGUUAUCCGGAUUUAUUGGGUGUAAAGGGAGCGUAGGGGGUUUGUUAAGUCAGUUGUGAAAGUUUGGGGCUCAACCGUAAAAUUGCAGUUGAUACUGGCAGUCUUGAGUACAGUAGAGGUGGGCGGAAUUCGAGGUGUAGCGGUGAAAUGCUGAGAUAUCACGAAGAACUCCGAUUGCGAAGGCAGUUCACUGGACUGCAACUGACACUGAGGCUCGAAAGUGUGGGGAUCAAACAGGAUUAGAUACCCUUGUAGUC